GACGAACGCUGGCGGCGUGCUUAACACAUGCAAGUCGAACGGAAAGGCCCUGCUUUUGUGGGGUGCUCGAGUGGCGAACGGGUGAGUAACACGCGAGUAACCUGCCCUUGACUUUGGGAUAACUUCAGGAAACUGGGGCUAAUACCGGAUAGGAGCUCCUGCUGCAUGGUGGGGGUUGGAAAGUUUCGGCGGUUGGGGAUGGACUCGCGGCUUAUCAGCUUGUUGGUGGGGUAGUGGCUUACCAAGGCUUUGACGGGUAGCCGGCCUGAGAGGGUGACCGGCCACAUUGGGACUGAGAUACGGCCCAGACUCCUACGGGAGGCAGCAGUGGGGAAUAUUGCACAAUGGGCGGAAGCCUGAUGCAGCAACGCCGCGUGCGGGAUGACGGCCUUCGGGUUGUAAACCGCUUUCGCCUGUGACGAAGCGUGAGUGACGGUAAUGGGUAAAGAAGCACCGGCUAACUACGUGCCAGCAGCCGCGGUGAUACGUAGGGUGCGAGCGUUGUCCGGAUUUAUUGGGCGUAAAGGGCUCGUAGGUGGUUGAUCGCGUCGGAAGUGUAAUCUUGGGGCUUAACCCUGAGCGUGCUUUCGAUACGGGUUGACUUGAGGAAGGUAGGGGAGAAUGGAAUUCCUGGUGGAGCGGUGGAAUGCGCAGAUAUCAGGAGGAACACCAGUGGCGAAGGCGGUUCUCUGGGCCUUUCCUGACGCUGAGGAGCGAAAGCGUGGGGAGCGAACAGGCUUAGAUACCCUGGUAGUCCACGCUGUAAACGGUGGGUACUAGGUGUGGGGUCCAUUCCACGGGUUCCGUGCCGUAGCUAACGCUUUAAGUACCCCGCCUGGGGAGUACGGCCGCAAGGCUAAAACUCAAAGGAAUUGACGGGGCCCCGCACAAGCGGCGGAGCAUGCGGAUUAAUUCGAUGCAACGCGUAGAACCUUACCUGGGUUUGACAUGGAUCGGGAGUGCUCAGAGAUGGGUGUGCCUCUUUUGGGGUCGGUUCACAGGUGGUGCAUGGCUGUCGUCAGCUCGUGUCGUGAGAUGUUGGGUUAAGUCCCGCAACGAGCGCAACCCUUGUUCACUGUUGCCAGCACGUUAUGGUGGGGACUCAGUGGAGACCGCCGGGGUCAACUCGGAGGAAGGUGGGGAUGACGUCAAGUCAUCAUGCCCCUUAUGUCCAGGGCUUCACGCAUGCUACAAUGGCUGGUACAGAGAGUGGCGAGCCUGUGAGGAUGAGCGAAUCUCGGAAAGCCGGUCUCAGUUCGGAUUGGGGUCUGCAACUCGACCUCAUGAAUUCGGAGUCGCUAGUAAUCGCAGAUCAGCAACGCUGCGGUGGAUACGUUCCCCGGGCUU
RNAcentral lists this ribosomal RNA (1347 nucleotides) under uncultured bacterium. RNAcentral's name for it is "partial 16S ribosomal RNA". It matches the Rfam family "Bacterial small subunit ribosomal RNA", at positions 28 to 1382 of the family's 1533-position model. The record is from RNAcentral.